Molecule: long non-coding RNA, 2751 nt
Organism: Acinonyx jubatus (cheetah)
Lineage: Eukaryota; Metazoa; Chordata; Mammalia; Carnivora; Felidae
Exons: 5
Source: RefSeq, a predicted model, not a curated record
GCGACCUUCCUGCCACUACGCUGCAACCAGGCGGCCCACGGUGCGGCCACUUUGGGUUGCUAAAUAUCUAGAUACUUCCGGCCCGCAUUGCCAGGUCCACUAGGCGUCCCCACCGUCCGGUAAUUACCGUCGCGCUGCCUGGCGGCCGAGUCUUCUGCGUGUGGCCCCCCUCACCUCCCGGCCCCGCCGUGGGAUCCGUCAAGCUAGUACUUUCCACGAGCCAAGCCCUUGGGACGGCGCCUGCCACCGGAUGAACACUCGAACUAUUUACAAGAGGUGGACAUCAGCAAUACAGAGAUCAAAUGAGAGAGGCCUCAUCAGAGGGGAGUCGAUGGAGAAAACGGUGGGCACGUUUUCCUUAUAAUCGGCUGAGCGUGGGGAAAAAAAAGUCACGAACAAAGAGAACUCAAAUAAUGCAACCUGGUGGCAUCUGAAAGAAAUGACCAACAUUCUGAUACGUUAUUAACAAGAAGCAAGACGAGGCGGUGACGGACCGUGGGCCGUACGUUCCCGUCGGGUAUUCUGCAUGCUACUAAACAGAAUUUGUCAAAAGAACCAUAAAAGCAUGAGAGAGAGAAGUACAUAAAAUAGCUGGGUCCCAGUGAGGUGUAACUUUGCACAGAGGGCAGUCCUACACGUUUGCGGAGAGGAAGUGGUAACAACCGUUACCGGUGACAACGCAGACGGUGCACGCGACGACGACAAACGAGGAUGGGGAGAGGAGUUAUGUGCAAAGUGCUCUUGUUCCCAAGCGACAUUCACCUGCUCGGGCUUCGUGGAACUUACGGGUCCUGUUUAUCAUACUUGUGUUUUGAUUUUGAAAGUUAAACUGAAGCCUUCAGCGUGGCGAUGCUGCCGUGAGCAAAACGCUGUGUCAGCUCGUGUCUCAACAGUUACGCGGUGUCUUCGGGGAAGAACGCUGUCCGAUCUGAGCGUCUCCAGCAUACGCAAAAUCUCUUACUGAAACUAUCUCCAUAACGUGGUGAGACGGCCACACUACAGGUCUGUGGUGCGUAUCUGCCAGAAGUGCCAGAAACAAGCUGGUUUGAUUGACUAACACAAGUAUUAUAAACAGUUUUAUUUUUCGUUACGUGUACAAUAUGUAAACAUGGCUUAUCUGCAUUUCACGGUGGGAUGUCGCCUGUGUGAGAAGUGAAAAUAUUGCACUGAGUCAUGGUGGCAGGUGACACUGCCUGGGGGCCGGCGGCAGGCCCUGGCUGCGUGUCACACGACCUUCUUUGGGACUCGGUGGACCGGACAGGGGUUCGUACGCACCCCCCACUGCGAAUCGGUGGCCACUGUCACGUUUAGCUACAGGGAAUUCUUAACUACUCAGCUUUAAAAAAGUAAGACUUGGAAGGCCAACAUGCUUUAGUAUCAACUGUGCUCCAGUGAACCCCAUGCUUGGUUGGAUGGAGAGUAUGAGGAAAAGAAAACACUGCAGGCCGAAGCAGCACCCCCGGGGGAUGACCUCACUGGAUGUCCUGCUGGUGUCACCAGGCUGCAGGGGGACCUGGGGGCAUGACAGUGCCCGUCAAGCUGAGGAAACAAAGUGCCAGAGGAGUGGGGACUCCGAGUUUGGGAUCCGAGGGAGAGAUUUGACGGGCUCUUCCUCUGCAGACGCGUCUGGACAGGGACACAGGAAAGCGAUGCUGGGAUGACGGUCACUGCGUCUAAGCGUGAUUGUACAAGUGGAAAGCCUUUUCAUUCGAAUCCUUCCUGCUUUGCUCUGGUGCCAGUCAGAAUCCUGAAACCUAAUUACUUUUCUCAGAGUCCACAGCUGGAAAUCACCACAUGUGACCUUUUUUUUUUUUUUUGUCAUGUCUAAAACAGGCAAGAAAUAUAUUCUUGACUUUAGUGAUACUGCAUAGGACAAAAGAAUUCUGGAAAAAUACAAAUGUAAGCUACAUUUCUUCUUUACCAUUUAAGCUGAGAGAUACCACUCACAUUCAUAUUUCUUAAACUUUUUACAUCACAACUGUCAUUUUAAACAAGCAAACUUUUUUUUUUUUAAGGAUACCCUGGAAAGUCAACUGAUAGAGCAGUUUGAGAAAAUAUAUACAUCCAUAAAAAAAAAAUCACAGGUACAUAAAUGGGGACACUUACAGACAAGACCGUGUGUGGUAGAAGUUAUGAAGGAAUAAAACAUACGAUGACUCUUUCAUCGGAAUAAGGGCAAUUAUUUUUCUCUUUACACGCCUGCUACAGGCCAGCCAGCCUUCUGUAAGACUCCAACCCUUUUCAUGUGUCACUCCCUUGGGUGAAUGAACACUCAGCUUAUUUUGGGACUGUUAGGUGCUGUGCCGGAGAUUCCUAUCGGGUUCAGACUUGUGAGCCACCCCUCCCUCCCCCCGCUGGGGGGUUUCUGGAGAACCACAUGGCAGGGAGUCGGGUGGCUGGAGAGAUGGCUUCUCAUAAACUCUGCACAAGGACCCUGGCGACAGGGGCCGGCUAGACUUGGGGGCGGGGGAGGCGCCCCGGGUGACAGGGGGUGGGGGUCUUUCUUGCCUGCACUUCGAGCUGAAGCAGUUUCCACUGGGGUGUCUGGUGAGUGGCAAGAUGCACCCGUAUCUAGUUAUUUGUUAGUCUUGCCUCGAAUUGUCACACGCUUUAUAAAAAUAUAAAUAACAAAAAUGUGAGCUGGGCUCCAUCUCGAGAGGUGUUUCCUGUGAUCCUCUGAGAACAGAGCGGAUCAGGGAGGUGUCCCCACGCCUAGCUGGCACAGCUGACCACGGGUCAGACCAUUGGAGG